Regulatory RNA element from Roseburia sp. CAG:45, 165 nucleotides. The record is from Rfam. NCBI's taxonomy places the organism in Bacteria, Bacillati, Bacillota, Clostridia, Lachnospirales, Lachnospiraceae.
UUAUAACGACUGCUAGGGGCACUUGGAAUUUCACCUGAAAACCGGCAACACUGGCACAGGGAUGUGCCAGAGAGGUGCAUAUGAGCACGGAUGUGAAUUUGCACCGGUUGCCGGAUAAAGUGAUAUAUUGUCCGAAAUUUCCGGUGCCCCUUGCAGCCGUUAGGU